GUACGCUGGCGGCACGCCUAACACAUGCAAGUCGAACGAAGUAGCAAUACUUAGUGGCAGACGGGUGAGUAACAUGUAGGUAUCUGCCCUUUGGCCUGGAAUAACACGAGGAAACUUGUGCUAAUACCGGAUAAGUCUUUACGGAGAAAGCUUUAUGCACCAUUGGAUGAGCCUGCACUUGAUUAGUUUGUUGGUGGGGUAAUGGCCUACCAAGACUGUGAUCAAUAGCUGAUUUGAGAGGAUGAUCAGCCACAUUGGGACUGAGACACGGCCCAAACUCCUACGGGAGGCAGCAGUGGGGAAUCUUGCACAAUGGAGGAAACUCUGAUGCAGCGAUGCCGCGUGAGUGAAGAAGGCCCUUGGGUUGUAAAGCUCUUUCGUCGGGGAAGAAAAUGACUGUACCCGAAUAAGAAGGUCCGGC
This 421-nucleotide ribosomal RNA is filed under the name uncultured bacterium. Its description in RNAcentral is "bacterial SSU rRNA". It matches the Rfam family "Bacterial small subunit ribosomal RNA", at positions 31 to 497 of the family's 1533-position model. The record is from RNAcentral.